GCCCGCCUAGCUCAAUCGGAUAGAGCGUCAGACUUUUACGCUGAUCAGAGCUAUGGGCAGUAAUAUCUGAAGGCUGCGAGUUCGACCCUCGCGGUGGGCU
This is a non-coding RNA of Termitomyces sp. T32_za158, 100 nucleotides long. The record is from the annotation of a GenBank genome assembly. Lineage: Eukaryota; Fungi; Basidiomycota; Agaricomycetes; Agaricales; Lyophyllaceae.